CCGAGUUUACAACUCCCAAACCCCUGUGAACUUAUACCUUUACUGUUGCUUCGGCGGGUUAUUGCCCCGGGGAAAACAGGUGCCGCCAGGCCCCUGCCUCCCCCCGGAACCAGGCGCCCGCCGGGGGACUCAAACUCUUCUGUAUUUUUGUUUACUGUAUACUGUCUGAGUAAAAACUAAAAUGAAUCA
RNAcentral lists this unclassified non-coding RNA (189 nucleotides) under uncultured Paecilomyces. RNAcentral's name for it is "sequence contains ITS1". Lineage: Eukaryota; Fungi; Ascomycota; Eurotiomycetes; Eurotiales; Thermoascaceae. The record is from RNAcentral.